GUUUGGAAUCAUCAUUGUUACUCUUUCCCCAAGACCGGAAUGAUGGAAAGAAUUUCAGCAUGUACGGUCGCAACCUCAGAAGAUUUAGAGACGUCACUUGAUUUGGAGAAGAAACCGUCAUUGUGAGAGUGAUGCAUUUACUUUUUCUUUUGUCAAAUCUGACAACGGUAAGGAGGAAGGUAAAGACGUGUCGUCAUCCAAGAUUAGUAUGCGGCUACUUCUACUCCACGUUACCUGAAACGGCCCCACAGAUUUCCAGACAUCCGUGAUAUCAGCUUCAGACCACUUUGACGCAGCUGUCGGGGAUGGCACCCAUUGGCUGACUUUGUGCCCUGACCACUCGGAGCGACCAAUCCAAAGCCAGCCUAGGUUCACGACCCCUAUACAUUUCUCCCGAGGCUUCGAUGUGAAUCUGUUCCAUGAAACCAUUUUACGGGCUAGCCUGCCAUCUUGUGCUCAUUAUUGCCAAACGCUUUGGUGAUGGAUUUUGCCCCGGAGCGGCUCAUAUGAGACAUGGUGUUUUUAUUAUUUUUCUGCAGUGAAGAUAAUUGGAUUUUAUAGCGUG
Molecule: long non-coding RNA, 565 nt
Filed under: Sinocyclocheilus grahami
Lineage: Eukaryota; Metazoa; Chordata; Actinopteri; Cypriniformes; Cyprinidae
Description: lncRNA (ENSSGRG00000031858.1)
Source: RNAcentral